Small nucleolar RNA from Scophthalmus maximus (turbot), 79 nucleotides. The record is from Ensembl. Lineage: Eukaryota; Metazoa; Chordata; Actinopteri; Pleuronectiformes; Scophthalmidae.
UCUGUCAAUGAUGAUCUAUCUGAAAUGCUCGAGUUGAAAGACCAUGAGAAAACUCACAUGCACUACCAUCUGAGACGGG